Beta vulgaris subsp. vulgaris (sugar beet) is the source of this 3073-nucleotide long non-coding RNA. RefSeq lists it as uncharacterized. NCBI's taxonomy places the organism in Eukaryota, Viridiplantae, Streptophyta, Magnoliopsida, Caryophyllales, Amaranthaceae. The transcript is spliced from 2 exons. The record is from RefSeq and is a predicted model, not a curated record.
UAUGAUAAAUGGUUCCCUCAGUUGUAUUCUUUUGCAUAAUGCAACUCAUUAUAAUAUUACUUAAUCACAUACUUUAGGCACAAAGUAUCAAGAAUUAAUAUGUUAUCAGCAUCGUGGAAGCUCACAAACAACAAAGUAAAAGAACACCAGCAAUACGCUAAGUCUUAUAUGCGGAUUGAUAACACCUUUAGUUAACGGUACUGCCAAUCCACAUAUAAUAUUAAGUGAAAGUAUUGGGUCAGACCGUCUGACCCAAUACAUAUUGUCAGACGGGCUGCCCAGUACGGUACAAUUUUAAGAGAUGUGUGCAGCGAAGCAGAGGUGAGGGGAGGAGAGAGAAAAUGAUGUUAUAACCCAUCAUUUGUAGUUCUUGCGUUGUCUCCCACAUCCUCUUGACAUCAAUGCCGAAACCAUUGAUUUGAACACUUUAUAUUUGAUCAACUGUUUCUUCAAACAUUCGAUCCCACGCAUUGAUCAAGCUUCGUUUUGCUGCCUCGUAUGUUCUUCAGAAGACGAGAUAUUAUGAUCUGUGAGUGUGAGUGGGUAAGUCAGUUUCUUCGUCUUCGAAGCGAUCUUCCAUGGCGGAAAUUGAAGGUUGAAAUUGGAAGUUUGAAGGAGGAGAAAGAAAGUUCGUGGGAGAGGACAUGAGUUUGGAGUAUAGUUAUUUGCUGGCAGAAGAGGAAUGAAGAAGAAGGAAAAAGUGAGAGAAAGCAGAGGUUAGUGUUUUGUUUUCUUUUCAGUUGGACUUUGUUUUCUUUCAGUUGACUUUGUUUUUUUUCAGUUGGACUUUGUUUUCUUUCCGUUGGACUUUGUUUUCUUUCAGUUGGACUUUGUUUUGUUUCAGUUGGACUAACUGAAACAAAAUGAAGACUACCUGAAAAAAAAUGAAGACUACCUGAAAAAGAAUAAAGACCAACUGAAACCCAAGUAAGUCUAACUGAAGCACAAAAACCAACUGAAAAAAAAAAAGACUAACUGAAAAAAAAAGACUAACUGAAACAAAAUGAAGACUACCUGAAAAAAAAUGAAGACUACCUGAAAAAGAAUAAAGACCAACUGAAACCCAAGUAAGUCUAACUGAAGCACAAAAACCAACUGAAAAACAAAGAAGACUAACUGAAAACAAAAUGAAGACUACCUGAAAAAAAAUGAAGACUACCUGAAAGAAAAUUAAGACUAACUGAAAAUAAAUUGGAACCACCUGAAAGUCGUCCGACCAAGAUUAUGGUCGGACGAGUCCGACACAAUACGUUCUCUAAUAUUAAUUAUUGUAUUUUUGAGGUUAGUAAUUGAUAUGCAAGGCCUUACUUAUAAUUGUUAAGGUUACUUAUUGAUAUAAUUGAGUUAUUUAUAUGAAUUUAAGGGAUUACAAAUUACUUAUUUCUUAAUAUACUUAAUUUGUCAUUCAGACGCGCAACCAAAUUAUUAUUAUAUCAUACAACUAACCGCAUUAAAAACUUACUAAAUCAUAAAUAUAAAUUUUCAAUAAAGAUAAGGAAUUCACAAUUGUUUGACCAACAAAGAGAAUGAUAUCCUUAUAAAUCAUUUAUUAACAUUUCAAUCUUCGUCGGUGAUAACCCCCCAUCAAACUUAUUUGUUGCAUUAUAAGCUACUCCCUCCGUCUUUUUUUAUUUGCUACAUUUUGCCAUUUAGGGGUGUUUCAAUUUAUUUGCUACAUUUGCAAAUAUUUCCAUAUAUAGUACAUAGGUCCCACACUUUAUUUACAAAUUUGCCAUCACUCCCUUCUUGAUUUUGUAAAUGUUUCCAUAUAUAAUACAUAGGUCCCACAAUUUACCUAUUUGCUUUUUUGUUAAUUCCAUUUAUGUCAAUGGUCCCCACUCCCUCCUUGGUCUUUGUGAAAAAGUGCUUGUAGCAAAUAAAAAAAGACGGAGGGAGUAUAAAACAUCUAUGAAACACUUGAACAAUAUACAAAUUUUGAAUAGUUUGAGCUGCGAUUUUCACCCAUCAAUAUGAAUGGUGAAUAAUGGAAAUUUGCUACUAAUUAGAAAGUAGUCAAACUCUUACCAUAGUAGCAAUGGAGCUACAAUCCAUUUGAAAUUUAUAGUUAACACCUCGUCAACCCUCAUGAAAUUGAUCACCAGAUGUUCUUUGACAUCAUAUGACACUAAAUUGGGCACAAGCUUAUGCUAAGAUAACCUAGUAUUUCGCAUCGUGGUUUAGCACAAGUUUUAGAAGAAAUAUGCAAAGUCGUGAUUAAUUAAGGGGCCGGACCGCCGGAGGAGGGCCAUACCCUCCCCUUUGUAUGACCAAAAAAAUAGAAAAGAUAAAGACAGUUUUUAUAAACGACAAUAUAUAAGAAUAAUAGAUUACUCCGUAGAAAUAAUAUAGAAACCACAUGCUAAGAAAUAUGAUAUCAUGUAAAUCAAACAUCUUCUAUAGUGAAUAUAGCGAGUAAAAGAAGAUGGAAGGAGUGUAUCAAAGUCAAACUUUUAAAUUAUAUUGGGGUCACAGCAUAUUCCAGAUUCAGUAUAUAUAGGAAUCCCAUGAGAAAAAGGAAUCCAAAGAACAUGCAUAACAGUAAAACCCACAAAAUAAUUGACAUGCAAAAAUAUCUUAGUCCAACACUUUUAGACACUGAAAUGAGGUGACAUGAAUAGAUUUUAUUUACAGUGUCCUUUCCCCUUAGAGGAAAGGAAAAGAUGCAGACAGAAUUUACAUAAUAUUUACUGCUAUGAGACUUUACAAGGUUGGAUGUGGACUGAAGAGAAAAAAGCUUUUGUGGCUGAACCAAAGAUAAUCAAUCAGAAGAUCAGUUAAAAAGCUUUUCUACAAAGAAGCUUACUUUUUUAGUCAAACCUAAUAGAAUUGUGUGCCCAAACAAAGCCUAGAGAAACAUAUACAGUGGGCAAUGCCUACUACUUCACCAACAAGAUGCUCAAGAAUAUGACUUAAUGAGCCCUAAGUUGUAGAGGAACUUUUCUGAUCUUGAUUUGAAGAGAUUUCCUAGGGAAAACCUUCCACUUUCUUGAGGAGGGGAUUUUGAGUACUCAUCUUCUUUUACCCGGAGAAUCGUCUGACCAAUCUCUUUUCGAACUGCUUCAAUUGUUUGGCU